This is a long non-coding RNA of Mus musculus (house mouse), 1840 nucleotides long. RefSeq annotates it as predicted gene, 46052. The record is from RefSeq and is a predicted model, not a curated record. Lineage: Eukaryota; Metazoa; Chordata; Mammalia; Rodentia; Muridae. The transcript is spliced from 3 exons.
CUUGUGGCACAGUGGGAGGAAGGAACCUGGUGGGGAGACUGCCGCAGUUCCUGCCAACAUCGGUUGGUGAAGAACCACCAGCCCUUUCAUUUGGCAGCUUGUGAGAUUACCCAGGGCUUGAGGACUGUGUCAAGACCCGAUUUACAUCCAUGCCCCUCUGGAGUAGAGGCAGCUCAGGGAAAGGAAUGGAAGAGACUAGAGCCUUUUUCCUCGUUGGGCGACUGAAGGCAAGAUGGGUCACCAGCAGCUCUACUGGAGUCCCCCACAGAAGUCGGGCCAGGGUUCUCACUCUAACCGCCAUGGUCUGAUCCGCAAAUAAGGGCUGAACAUGUGCCAUCAGCGCUUCUAUUGCUGAUGAUACGCCGUGACCCGUUCCACGAGGCUCCUGGUGGCUAAGAUAUCACUUUCCCACUUGUGGAAAGUAGCAGCAUCCGCUGCUAUGAGAAGGCACAAAGGGGACCUUCCCCUUGUUUCUGACCCUCACCUCCAGGUGAGAAAAACCCAGGCUGCAGGAAGAAAGGGGUCCUCCCUGUCUCCACUGCCAACUCUCAAGGAUGACCCAUGUUCCUGGAUCUGUCCUAAGUUCUGAACUCCUUGCCAAAAUAGCAUCCAAAAUGACAGGCACGAAUGCUGACACCGGUGUGGACUGGGGACACAGACUUCAGUCCACUGACAACGGCUUUAUCAUCUAUGACAAGGACUUCCAACACUACGGUGCCAUCAGAGACCCCAGGCACAGGUGACCUGGGAGCAUCACAGAGUUGGGUCCAGUGAGUGUUUUCGGGGGGCCUUUGCCUUCCCUCAUAAGGCAGGAGUGUCACCACCUCAAUACUUAUGUGUGAGCACGCCAAAGGGUGACAGUGGGUGUCUGCCUCUUCUGCUCUCUUUUAUUCACGACAGGGUCUCUCGCUGACUCUAUCACAUACCAGCUAACUGGCAAGACUGGGAGCCAGCAAGCUGCAAGGAUCCACCUGCCUCACACAUGCACCACGACUAACGUUAUACGUGCUGUGUACUCCCAGCUUUAAAAUAAAAACAGGAUGCUUGGAUCCCAACUCAAGUCAUCAUGCAGGCACUUUUCCAACCGAGCCUUCUCCUAAGCCCAGGGCUGACAUUUUAUAGUCAACAGUAGAAACAAAAGACCUAGCAGAGAUAGAUAGCACCCAGCUGCAAUCCCUGCUCCCGUUACAUAGAAGGGCCAGGAGUUCAAGGUCCUCCUCAGCUACAUAGUUAGCUUGUAGUCUACUCAAGCUACAUAAGGCCCCAUAUCAAAAAGAAGCAAAACAAACAAACAAAAAAGACCUCCAUCCCAGCCCUCCAGGGCUGCCUUUGCUACACAGCUGUGUGUCUUUAGGCAAAUCACACCUUUCCGAUUUAGCCUCAGGACCUUCAUCUGUGCAGUGAGCUCGACAAUGGUUGCCCUCCCUCUGCUAAUCUAACAAACUCCUAUCAAAGAUUAAAUAUGUAACUGUUGUGAACUUCAGAGGACGGCGCACCGCCAGCAAGAGAUUCUGCAUGUAAGCCUAAGGAGACCGGGGACUGAGCCAGGCCCAGGCACUGGGCACAGAGCGAAGCGGGCGGGUAGAAUGAACAUGCAGAUCUGGCAGGCUGCGCAGGUGGAAAGAACUGGCUGCCAACAAACACCGGAAGAGAAGGAAAGAUUCAUGCCAGGGAAAUGGGUAUAAUGAACGAGGAAUUCAGACCAACACUCAGAACAGCCUACCUCACUGUGUAAGAAUGGAGGAGCUAGUGAGAACUUCUCCGGCGUUCCCAAGUCCUGUCCCCCAGCACAGUGUUAAUAUAAAAUUUCGUGUCCUCAAAUAAACCAAAGUCCCUCACA